GACCCAUGGGUUCCAUGGUGUAGGUAAGGUUCCUGUGCCGUGUCGAGAAUGUGAUGAAGCGCCAGGAGUCGCCGGAGAGUAGUGACGGUUCGUCAGCCGUGGUUUGCGUGGUGCCGCCGGUGCGCCGCUCUCCCGCCGAGCCGCCCCUUCUCGUCGCCCAGUCUGGCCGCCCAGCCGAGCCUGGCGCGGCUGACGGCGCCUUAGACGGCAUCAUGUAGAACCAGCAUGGGUCGCUGGCGGCGGGCCUCGGCGCCUAUCCGGUGCACGCUGCCUACGGCGAGAACCUCUAGGUGAAGAGUGAAGGCGGCGGUGGCUCGUUGCAGUACUCUGCCGGCGCCAGCGAAGAACCGGCCUCUACCGCCGCUGGGCCGGUGCCGCACUCCUCUGCGCCCCAGCGACGGGAAGCCGCCGCCGCCGACGCCGAUGCCGGCGCUGUUCAGCCCAGCUACCACCGACUCAAGGUGGAAGACGUGCUCUCCUACCAGAACCAGGUCAAGUCCAAGUUCCAGAACAACCCACAGGUCCACAACGACUUCCUCGAUAUAAUGAAGGAGUUCAAGGCGCAAAAUACCUACACGUCUUGAUGAUGGCGCCGGGCUAGGUGACCACAGCGCGGUGCACACGCCCACUGGCGGCUUCCAGACCUACUCGGACACAGUGGUACCGACGCCGCCGCCGCAGCCCCAGCAGCAGCAGCCACCGCCACCGCCGCUGCCGACGGCGCCCGGCGCGCCGCCCAAACCGAGUCACCAGCGGCCACCGAGGAGUAGGUAUGGCACCAACAGGCAACAACAUCCUGUCGCACGCUGUGCGGCGGCGGCCGGCGUCGGGGGCCACCACGUCACCGCGCACCACUCGUACAACCAGCCGCCGUCGUCCGCGGGACGACCCAUUCACCUCCAGUGGGUCCCCUCGCAUUGCGGCCUUCCUGGAAAUGAGAGGGCAGACACCCUGGCGGAGGAGACCUCCGCCCUGGACCAGAACUCAGACACACACCACUGGACACCAGAACGAUCCAGAGAGCAGCGGCAAGGCUGGCGCGUGCGAGGACCAGAGCGGCCUGGCCCGACGGCUGGUAUCGCCAACUGCCGGUGUGGGCUCUGUCGUGAGGAAGCAGACACCUCGGCCCACGCGCUGAUGCGGUGUCCCGCCCUGGUGCAACUGCCGGUUCCGAGUGUUCGGAACUAUACACCCGACCCACGAGGACCUGCGCAGCAUCGACGCAGUAGCGGCCCUGGGUGCCGCCUUCGUCCCCCUCCAGAGCCGGCAGGAUACGCCCUAGGGCUGGAGGGAAACAACAACAACAACAACAACAACAGAGGACAUGAACCCACUUAAUGUGUUCAAACGCUACCGCGACAGCCGCAAGGUGCUCGAGUACCGGACGGAGCUGUUCAGCUCGUGUUGCGAGGUGCCAUCGGCGUGGUGCCGGCGCAAUAUGAGCACGGUACGCUGCCGUGCGCCAGCUGCCUCAGUCUGCUGGCCAGCCCGGUGAGACGGCACCUCGCCGUCGCCGCCGGACGCUCAGGUAGGAUCUCUGAGUGAUGUGCUGAGCUCAGCUUGAAUUGACCUCAGUCACCCAGCAGCGACUGGAGCGGUCCGAGCGAGCCCGUGUACCGCCGCCAGUGUUUGGUCGUGUUUGGGGCCGUACGGCGCGGGUGAUCUGUACGGGCGCGGCCGUAUCUUAUGUUACGUAUCGUAGCUAAGCACGACUUGACACUGUCCACCACGGGACCCGCCCAUGUUGACGGCGUCGCAAUGUACUCAUUGAUUGACUAGUGCUGCGCGACUGCUCGGAGUUGACCAGUUAACGUUUUGUAGGCUUUAUUAUCACUGGCGGAGGCGUGGGGACUGGGGAGUGUUUUCUAUUCGUCAGUGUUUGCCGAGGCGAGGCUGCUUAAUGCCGAUUGUGACAUGUUACUAUGUAUCCUCACGUGAAGUCGUUGGGUUAUCUAACUUGGUUCAUCAAUAAAUGGUGCGACCUACAAA
This 1989-nucleotide unclassified non-coding RNA is filed under the name Amphibalanus amphitrite. Its description in RNAcentral is "transcriptional regulatory protein SIN3-like, transcript variant X1". The record is from RNAcentral. Lineage: Eukaryota; Metazoa; Arthropoda; Thecostraca; Balanomorpha; Balanidae.